AGCUACCUUUGAUAUUGACUGUAUCUUCUGGAACUUCAGUGAUUCUGCCAUGUCCAGCUUCUACAUUUGAUCCUGAAUUGCCUUUGGUCUUAGAGCCCCACUUGCUGGAGAUUUGCAUAGACUAGGAUCAGAGAUUAGAUUUUGCUUCCCUGUCCUAUUUAACCUCCUGUCAGAACUUGCAGCUGAGUCAGCACCUGGUACUUUUCCUGCCCUAGUGAGUAGGCAAGAAUGACAGUGAACCAAAAGGCUUUGGAAGUCCUCUGUGAGUAUGUCAGACCUGCCUUCCUCGACCCAGUUUACCAUGGAGCAGAACUGCCAGCUGACUUUGGAUACUUACUUCUGAAUGUUCCCUGAUUGAGAAAUGAAUUAUUUUUAUAGGACAAUUUAGCCUUUUACUCUAAUUAAUACAAAUAUAAAUAGAA
Molecule: long non-coding RNA, 422 nt
Organism: Cebus imitator (Panamanian white-faced capuchin)
Lineage: Eukaryota; Metazoa; Chordata; Mammalia; Primates; Cebidae
Exons: 2
Source: RefSeq, a predicted model, not a curated record